RNAcentral lists this ribosomal RNA (253 nucleotides) under uncultured bacterium. RNAcentral's name for it is "partial 16S ribosomal RNA". It matches the Rfam family "Bacterial small subunit ribosomal RNA", at positions 524 to 776 of the family's 1533-position model. The record is from RNAcentral.
UACGUAGGGGGCAAGCGUUAUCCGGAUUUACUGGGUGUAAAGGGAGCGUAGGCGGUGCAGCAAGUCAGAAGUGAAAGCCCGGGGCUCAACUCCGGGACUGCUUUUGAAACUGUUGAACUAGAUUGCAGGAGAGGUAAGUGGAACUCCUAGUGUAGCGGUGAAAUGCGUAGAUAUUAGGAGGAACACCAGUGGCGAAGGCGGCUUACUGGACUGUAAAUGACGCUGAGGCUCGAAAGCGUGGGGAGCAAACAGG